AUGUUAUUAUUCCCUUACGUUAACGUGAGUUAUAGUUAUCCUUAAUGUAAGGCCGGCUGACCAGAUUACUGAUCACAGAGAGUUAUUCUCCCGCCGACCUUACAUCCUAGAUUGCGAUGGCAACGAUUGUCGCCAUGUUAUAAAAUAUUCCACCUUUAAUCAUGUUAUUCUUCCCUUACGUUAACCUGAGUUAUAGUUAUCCUUAAUGUAAGGCCGGCUGACCAGGUUACUGAUCACAGAGAGUUAUUCUCCCGCCGACCUUACAUCAUAGAUUGCAGUAGCAACGAUU
Molecule: long non-coding RNA, 289 nt
Filed under: Neodiprion pinetum (white pine sawfly)
Lineage: Eukaryota; Metazoa; Arthropoda; Insecta; Hymenoptera; Diprionidae
Description: uncharacterized LOC124214245
Source: RNAcentral